Molecule: ribosomal RNA, 463 nt
Filed under: uncultured bacterium
Lineage: Bacteria
Description: partial 16S ribosomal RNA
Rfam family: Bacterial small subunit ribosomal RNA
Source: RNAcentral
GAUGAACGCUGACAGCAUGCUUAACACAUGCGAGUCGAUGGGGAAGUGGAUCUUGCCCCUUGGUACCCCUGGCGGACGGGGGAGUAACGCGUAAGGAACUUACCUGCUGGACUGGGAUAACAGCAGGAAACUGCUGACAAAGCCGGAGAAAGUCCUUAAUCUGCUUAGUUUAUUGAUGAAAGGAGACGCCUGCGGAGAGCCUUGCGUCCUAUUAGCUAGUGGGAGGGGUAACGGCCCACCAAGGAGAUGAUAGGUAGCCGGCCUGAGAGGGUGUACGGCCACAAGGGGACGGAGAGACGGCGGUGACUACUACGGGAGACAGAAGUGGGGAAUAUUGGACAAUGGGGGCAACCCUGAUCAAGCAAUUCUGUGUGAAAGAAGACGGUUAUCGGAAUGUAAAGUGCUUGCAGGAGGGAAGAAGGAAGUGACGGUACCUGAAGAAGAAGCGACGGCUAACUACGUG